RNAcentral lists this long non-coding RNA (1588 nucleotides) under Homo sapiens (human). RNAcentral's name for it is "HSALNT0135295". Lineage: Eukaryota; Metazoa; Chordata; Mammalia; Primates; Hominidae. The record is from RNAcentral.
UUUUUUUUGAUGGUUAAAAAAAUUUGGGUUUUAUUGUUUUUGCUAAAUAAUACUAAAAAAAAAAUUUCAUUUUGAAGGCAGGGCUUGAAUUAUUUAAUUUGAUCCAUUUAUUUAAUUAAAAAAAAAAGGAAGGGGAAAGAGAUCAUGGCCAAAAAAAUAGUAGUUAACCCCCACCCCACCCCCAAAGCUCUAGCCAGUCAUGUGAGCAUCACCCACAUCCCACUCAGUGCCUGAUAUUCGGAUGGUGGCAUACUCUGCCCCAGGAGACUGCCUGAAGGCACGGGGCAAUGGGUGCCAAUUUUAGCUCUCAGCAGGUUAGUCAACCAGACAAACUGGUGGGCUAAAGUCCAGAAAUUCUUUCCAGGUUUUCUGCUCAUUGGCUGAGCACAUACAAACUGUCAUAAGCCUGUAAAAUUUAAGGGGAGUUGGGGUGGGGCGUAAGAGCAAAAGGACAGCAGGAGAAGAGAAAUUACGGGUCACCCAAGUUUUUCCUGGGCUAGUGGCUCUGGAUAUAGAUUUAAAGAGAGGUCAGAGUAAAUGGACUCCAGGUUUCUUAUCAAAGAAAACUAUCCCUCAAUGAGGAGCUGAGAUGUGCCAUGCAAGAGAGUUCUUCCUGCAGAGGCACAGGAGAAAGGGCAGCUGACUCUCUCAUGUGGAGAGAGUGGCGAGGAAGGUCUUCUAGUACCAUGAAGUAAGACAGGCAGAGGGAGAAUCCUGAGGUUUGGGCCAAAUGUGAGACUGGUACACACACAGUUAAAGACUAAAAAGCCAUCAGGAACCCUCAAAGCCAAAUUCUAUCUGCACACUGGCUCUACAAAGUUCGCAGCAAGAAUCUCUUGCACCAAGUCAAGUUAGUGGCCUGGCUAUGAUGGAUGGUGGAGAGGGCAAUACAUUUUUAUUUUCAGAGGGAUGAGGUGGGAAGAACAGCCAUGAUCUAGUAAAAAGAGACCUGCAAGAAGCAGAAAAUAUUUAGAGAACAUUUUAAUAUAUAUUUUCAUAUAUAUAUUUAAAGUUAAGAAAAAUAAAACUAAUUCAAGCCAUGCCCUGUGCAAAAAAAAAAAAAAAGAAAAAAGAAAAAAGAAAAAAAAAGGAAAAGAAAACAAAAAUUUAAAGUGAGACGUUUGCUGCUCUGGUCUCAACUUAAGAAUCACAGUCAGCUUGUUACUUUUAUUUUGGAAGAAAAGAUGUAAAAGUUUCUUUCAAUCAUUCAGAAGGCAAGUGUAGCCACUUAUAAAAACAGAAUGGCAGGAACAAACUAGGAAAGGAAAGUCAGAAGUAAAGGGCAGAGUGGGAAAAUAAUUUUCAAAAAUAAAAUUAACAAGGUGACUGUUCCAGAAGAGGGCUGUGAAAAGGACAUGGUGGACCGAAGUCUGUUAGUCAAGUAAUGAUUCAACUUUUAAAUUAUUCUCUUGUUCUUUUUUGUUGGGUGUUUUGUUUGUUCAAGUCUAAGAUUUGGAAAUGCUGACCCUUUGUUAAGAGCCAACAGGACAUAUAGGAUCCCUUCCCUCCCCCGGCCUGCCUCCGCUGAAGCCACCACCAGCGCCUCCUUGGCUGGAUGCUGGAAGAGUCCUCCAUGUGUACGGACUCA